UGGGGAAUAUUGCACAAUGGGCGCAAGCCUGAUGCAGCCAUGCCGCGUGUGUGAAGAAGGCCUUCGGGUUGUAAAGCACUUUCAGCGAGGAGGAAGGUGGUGAGCUUAAUACGCUCAUCAAUUGACGUUACUCGCAGAAGAAGCACCGGCUAACUCCGUGCCAGCAGCCGCGGUAAUACGGAGGGUGCAAGCGUUAAUCGGAAUUACUGGGCGUAAAGCGCACGCAGGCGGUUUGUUAAGUCAGAUGUGAAAUCCCCGGGCUCAACCUGGGGACUGCAUUUGAAACUGGCAAGCUAGAGUCUCGUAGAGGGGGGUAGAAUUCCAGGUGUAGCGGUGAAAUGCGUAGAGAUCUGGAGGAAUACCGGUGGCGAAGGCGGCCCCCUGGACGAAGACUGACGCUCAGGUGCGAAAGCGUGGGGCAGCAAACAGGAUUAGAUACCCUGGUAGUCCACGCUGUAAACGAUGUCGAUUUUGGAGGUUGUGCCCUUGAGGCGUGGCUUCCGGAGCUAACGCGUUAAAUCGACCGCCUGGGGAGUACGGCCGCAAGGUUAAAACUCAAAUGAAUUG
RNAcentral lists this ribosomal RNA (567 nucleotides) under uncultured bacterium. Its description in RNAcentral is "partial 16S ribosomal RNA". It matches the Rfam family "Bacterial small subunit ribosomal RNA", at positions 355 to 912 of the family's 1533-position model. The record is from RNAcentral.